UUAAUGCUAAUCGUGAUAGGGGUUGUUCUCUCCAAGACGCCUAGCAUGCUAGCAUUAUC
This 59-nucleotide microRNA precursor is filed under the name Gadus morhua (Atlantic cod). RNAcentral's name for it is "microRNA gmo-mir-155 precursor". Its record names the gene gmo-mir-155. Lineage: Eukaryota; Metazoa; Chordata; Actinopteri; Gadiformes; Gadidae. The record is from miRBase by way of RNAcentral.